CUUCUUGGUGACUUCUAGAAUCUUCUCCAUGUUGGGUCUCUCGGGUUUUAGGGAGUCACAUGGAGGCACUGUGAUGGUCACCUGAUCAUUGGACUUCAGAAGAGGAAAACUCUGA
This is a long non-coding RNA of Nanorana parkeri, 115 nucleotides long. RefSeq lists it as uncharacterized. NCBI's taxonomy places the organism in Eukaryota, Metazoa, Chordata, Amphibia, Anura, Dicroglossidae. The record is from RefSeq and is a predicted model, not a curated record. The transcript has 3 exons.